RNAcentral lists this non-coding RNA (19 nucleotides) under Mus musculus (house mouse). The record is from RNAcentral. Lineage: Eukaryota; Metazoa; Chordata; Mammalia; Rodentia; Muridae.
UGCCACAUGGGAGGGAGAC